Molecule: ribosomal RNA, 253 nt
Filed under: uncultured bacterium
Lineage: Bacteria
Description: partial 16S ribosomal RNA
Rfam family: Bacterial small subunit ribosomal RNA
Source: RNAcentral
UACGGAGGGUGCAAGCGUUGUCCGGAAUCCCUGGGCGUAAAGGGCGCGUAGGCGGCUCAUGAAGGCUGUGGUGAAAGUCCGGGGCUCAACCUCGGAUCGGCCGUGGCGACUCGUGGGCUGGAGCACUGUAGAGGCGGGUGGAAUUCCGGGUGUAGCGGUGGAAUGCGUAGAGAUCCGGAAGAACACCAGUGGCGAAGGCGGCCCGCUGGGCAGUGGCUGACGCUGAGGCGCGACAGCGUGGGGAGCAAACAGG